UUUCAUGGUUGUAGGAUUUUAAAAAUAAUAAAUUUCAUGAUUUCAGCUAUUUAAAUCUGAAAUUUCACCUUGUGGUAAUUGUAGGGGCCCUGACCAUAAAGGAGUUGACUGUGUGGGUUUGGGGUG
Chelonoidis abingdonii (Abingdon island giant tortoise) is the source of this 126-nucleotide non-coding RNA. The record is from RefSeq and is a predicted model, not a curated record. Lineage: Eukaryota; Metazoa; Chordata; Testudines; Testudinidae.